AUCGGCCACACUGGAACUGAGACACGGUCCAGACUCCUACGGGAGGCAGCAGUAGGGAAUCUUCCGCAAUGGGCGAAAGCCUGACGGAGCAACGCCGCGUGAGUGAUGAAGGUCUUCGGAUCGUAAAACUCUGUUAUUAGGGAAGAACAUAUGUGUAAGUAACUGUGCACAUCUUGACGGUACCUAAUCAGAAAGCCACGGCUAACUACGUGCCAGCAGCCGCGGUAAUACGUAGGUGGCAAGCGUUAUCCGGAAUUAUUGGGCGUAAAGCGCGCGUAGGCGGUUUUUUAAGUCUGAUGUGAAAGCCCACGGCUCAACCGUGGAGGGUCAUUGGAAACUGGAAAACUUGAGUGCAGAAGAGGAAAGUGGAAUUCCAUGUGUAGCGGUGAAAUGCGCAGAGAUAUGGAGGAACACCAGUGGCGAAGGCGA
Molecule: ribosomal RNA, 429 nt
Filed under: Staphylococcus aureus
Lineage: Bacteria; Bacillati; Bacillota; Bacilli; Caryophanales; Staphylococcaceae
Description: bacterial SSU rRNA
Rfam family: Bacterial small subunit ribosomal RNA
Source: RNAcentral